UUGUAAACAGAUCUAAUUUCACAUUUUUAGCUUUGUGUUAUUGUUUCUGGGUUAAUUAGAACUUAAACGCUGAUUUCGAUUGCUUUUUCUUUGCUCAUUUGAUUCGCUGGGUUUACAGAUCCAAACAAAACCUGCCCAACGCAACCUCCGUCUCCGUCUCUGUCUCUGUCUCUGCUCCGAGCGGAGCUGCCGAGCACUUUUGACCGGGCGGAGCUGCAGAGAUGUUGCUUGUUUAAUUUGGCGGCAUUCUCUAUAAUGAGUGAGUUGUUGAGCUCAAAGUCCGGGAUUCUGAACUUGAUCAAGACGGUGUCGUUAACAAUGCUGUUUAUGCAAGUUAUGGCCAACAUGGUGAGUUAAAACGUUUCAUUUGAAUCUAGCUAAUUACACCUUUUUUUUACAGGAGCUAUUCAUUUCAAAUUUUCCCUCUUCCAUAUGUCACCGGGGGGAUUCUUCCUGUCGAAUUUGUGCUCUCAGCUAGCGAUUGGUACGCAGACGGGACGGGACGAAACAAAGAUUCAUGUCAUGUUAGGUACUGGCAAGAUGGAAUAGAACGAAACUGGAUUAAAUGACUAACUUACCCUUGUUGUCCCUUAUCCA
Non-coding RNA from Malus domestica (apple), 597 nucleotides. The record is from RefSeq and is a predicted model, not a curated record. NCBI's taxonomy places the organism in Eukaryota, Viridiplantae, Streptophyta, Magnoliopsida, Rosales, Rosaceae.